AAUAAGUUUAUUUUUUAGUUUUUAGAUACAAUGUUUUUACUCUUCGUCUUAUUUGAAAUUUUAUUGUGAUUAAUAAUUUUAUUGUUACUAGAUGAUAAUACAUGAAUAAUACCUUAUGCGUGACUAAUUUUUCUAAGUUUUUUAAUAAUUUUUUCAAAUAAGACGAAUGGUCAAACUUUGGACAAAUAAAUCAAAAAAUGAAGUUAUU
RNAcentral lists this microRNA precursor (208 nucleotides) under Oryza brachyantha (malo sina). RNAcentral describes it as "MIR812 microRNA precursor family". It matches the Rfam family "MIR812 microRNA precursor family". The record is from Rfam by way of RNAcentral. Lineage: Eukaryota; Viridiplantae; Streptophyta; Magnoliopsida; Poales; Poaceae.